Molecule: ribosomal RNA, 242 nt
Filed under: uncultured Chloroflexota bacterium
Lineage: Bacteria; Bacillati; Chloroflexota
Description: uncultured Chloroflexi bacterium partial 16S ribosomal RNA
Rfam family: Bacterial small subunit ribosomal RNA
Source: RNAcentral
CUCUAGCGAUACUGCCCGUAUAACGUGGAGGAAGGUGGGGAUGACGUCAAGUCAGCAUGGCCCUUACAUCCUGGGCUACACACACGCUACAAUGGGUGAUACAACAGGUUGCGAUAGAGUAAUCUGGAGCCAAUCCCUAAAAUCAUCCUCAGUACGGAUUGCAGGCUGCAACUGCCUGCAUGAAGUUGGAGUUGCUAGUAAACGCAGGUCAGCACACUGCGUUGAAUACGUUCUCGGGCCUU